Molecule: ribosomal RNA, 429 nt
Filed under: uncultured bacterium
Lineage: Bacteria
Description: bacterial SSU rRNA
Rfam family: Bacterial small subunit ribosomal RNA
Source: RNAcentral
UGAGGAAUAUUGCGCAAUGGGGGCAACUCUGACGCAGCAACGCCGCGUGAGUGAGGAAGGUUUUCGGACCGUAAAGCUCUGUCGAGCGGGAAGAAAUGCAUGGUGGCUAAUAUCCAUCAUGCUUGACGGUACCGCUAAAGGAAGCACCGGCUAACUCCGUGCCAGCAGCCGCGGUAAUACGGGGGGUGCGAGCGUUGUUCGGAAUUAUUGGGCGUAAAGAGCGUGUAGGCGGCCGAAUAAGUCAGAUGUGAAAUCCCUGGGCUUAACACAGGACGUGCAUUUGAAACUGUUAGGAUAGAGUAGGGGAGAGGAAAGUGGAAUUCCUGGUGUAGAGGUGAAAUUCGUAGAUAUCAGGAGGAACACCGGUGGCGAAGGCGACUUUCUGGCCCUAUACUGACGCUGAGACGCGAGAGCGUGGGUAGCAAACAG